This 32153-nucleotide long non-coding RNA is filed under the name Phoenix dactylifera (date palm). RNAcentral describes it as "long non-coding RNA (PDAC_LNC002790)". The record is from RNAcentral. Lineage: Eukaryota; Viridiplantae; Streptophyta; Magnoliopsida; Arecales; Arecaceae.
UUACAUCAAGUAGUUCAAACCACUUAGGCUACAUUUGACUGUACAUCACAAUCAAGCUAAUUAGUGAUUUUGCAUAAGUUUUUUUGAAAAAAGAGAGUCGUGGCUUUAUAUUAAUCUGUGUCUCCAUGUGUUUUGAAGAAUAGUUAACUUGUGUUUUGAAGAAUAGUUAACUUCCAAGAAUGAUGGAAAUGAAAUUCAAAAUCCUUUGGUUCCUUACAUUGAGUAGAGCUUUUGCAAAGAUUGUCUUUUUCCCCUCAUCUUCUAUUCACUGUUUUAAACUGCUAUCUUCCUUAAGAAAUAAAAACCUUAUUUAGAAAUUAACAUUUUGAAGAAAUAACAAAAUUUAUGAUUAGAGCGGACCACUUAAAUACAGGUGCAGAUCUCAAUAGCCUAAGAAAAAAAAUCCAAGGGAGGAGAUCAUGCUGCCCAGCUACCUAAGAUGAAUCUAGAUUAGCUCCUUGGGAGUGAUAAAAACAAAACAAACUAACACUCAAGGUAAUAGGCCUUAAUGCAUAGCUCCUAGAGGAGGUAUUCCUGAUAAGUAAAGGUUUGUGAUUGGAGCAAAUCACCUCACACAGAUGUACACAAACACAUGCACGCAUACAGGCACACACUAAAAGAAAGGGAACAGAUGGGGUUGGACAUGGGAGGAAAUCAGACUACCCAGCCAUCGAAAAUAAACAUAGCCUAGCUCCUUGGGCAUCCUGAAAACCAUACAAACAAGCAAUUAAUGUGCUAAGAUUAAUGUAUACUUCCUAUAGGAGGCCUCCCAACUCCACGGGAGUGCCAAAAAUAAAUCAAACAAGAACCCAAGGUGGUAGCCUUCAAGAGAAAUAAACAGUAUUCUUCAGUUUGCACGUGUAAACUAAAAUCAACUUUGGCAAGAUCUAAGAAUGUGAUCAAAUCUCCAGUUUAUAUGCAUCUAACUCUCCAAAGUCAUGAGAUGCACGCAUCAACUACACCAGAGUCCACCAAGUAGUGCAUCUGGAAGUGUCAGGAGAGAUAAAAAUUCUGUUUGUUGUCUUGCAUCAUCAUCUAUGUUCUCUGCUCAACCAUGUGGGCCUAAGAUAUAGCGAACACACAAAGAAGAGUACUAUUCAAUUUAAACAAGUGCUCUCUCGCUAAGAUUUUUUUUUUAAUUUAUUGAAACUGCAUAGUGUAUGUCUGGAAAACCUAAUUACUAUUCGCAAGCGGCUGCUGAAGUCUCAUGAGGGUCACAAUUCAGAUCCUUACCGACAAGACCAUUGAAAACAAUGGCUUUUUAUAACAAACAAAGAGAAAUCACCGAUAAUCAAAACAUCCCCUCAAGGCUCAUGCAAGGCAUGACGAAUCCAAACUGGAACUCGGGCAUCUUUAGGUGAACAAAUAUUUGCAUACGUAAAAACCUUAUCUUGAAACAAGCAUGAGUUUUUGUCAUCUGAUUUUGAAAUUGCCGCACCGUUAUGAAAACCUAACACUUUUUUUUUCUAAUCAAAACCAAAAAAACCCCGCAUACGUUUCAUGAUUUCGGAAAUAAAAAAAGGAGAUACGGGGAGAAAAAAACUCACGUCCCAUCAUGAUCUAUCAUAGAUUUGCCAGCUGAUUGAUCAUCAAAAAGAACCCCCCGACCCGAGAGAGAGAGAGAGAGAUCGAGAUGAUAGAUCGAACGAUGCCAGUAAGUUCCAUUGAACCACAAAAAACGCUUCCUAAAACAUAAACAACAGGAAAAUCCCCAAAAUCCAGAAAGAAGAGCCUAACNNNNNNNNNNNNNNNNNNNNNNNNNNNNNNNNNNNNNNNNNNNNNNNNNNNNNNNNNNNNNNNNNNNNNNNNNNNNNNNNNNNNNNNNNNNNNNNNNNNNNNNNNNNNNNNNNNNNNNNNNNNNNNNNNNNNNNNNNNNNNNNNCAGAUCUCGAACGAGAAGGGAGCUCGAAGAGAUCAAUACCUGAGCCCGCGCGGCAAAUAGAGGCCGAGCAGAGGUGGCGAUCGCCGUUCCCGAGAUCGAAGCCAUGGAUCGAUUGAAAAAAGAAGAGAGAGAAGGCGACAGAGAGAGAGAGAGAGAGAGAGAGAGAGCUCUAAAGGGAAAGUGAGAGCGAGGGAGGAGGAUUGGAUCUGGGAGAGAGACGAGCACGAAGAGUUACAUGGAGGCGCUUCUCGUUGUCCCCCAUAUAUAAAGAGAACGAGGCUAGGGUGUCGCUAUGUCAUAAUGGCACUGCCGGGGCCUCGGUAGUAUCGAAAGGGCCGGGGGAGCAUAGGCCAGAAUAUAAAAUACCUAUAUUGACCUCAAAAGUUUUCUCAAAUAACGAUGAAGUUACAAUGGUUUUGUUGUAGAUUAGGAAAUAGUUGGGUUCUGCUUCAUAAGGGGCGGCGGGUUAAGGAAAGCGGGGAGGCUUUGGAAGUAUCGAUUCGAAGGGUUUUGUCAGCCGUGUUCCACGUGGUUGUUGGCAAAUGGCUGUUCAACAAACUAUUGACCGGUUAGGUUACCGCACUUCCUCUCAUAAUUCCUACUCACCACUUGGUAGGAAACGGGCCGGGCCGGGCCCACAAAUAAUUUAGGGCCGAAAAAUUCUAAAAUUAGGCCCAAGUCUAUUGGGCCAACUGACAUAGCUAUUUGGGCCAGGCAUGCUUCAUUCCAUCCGCAUCCGAGACUUGAGGAUUUGGCCUUAUAUGAAUAAACUUGAGGGUUAGGUCUUGAAUGUAAAAUCCAUCCGAGUAUCACAAGUUCACAACCAUUCAAGCCGAAGAGUAGUUUCUGAAAAAAGAGAAAAACUAAAACAAAUUGGAUAGUUUGUACCCAAAAAAAAAAAAAGGACAUUGACCUGGAUGGUUCUAUAUAGAAGACUUGCUAGUAGAGCCUCUCAUGGGAAUCCCGAUGUUUUGUAUCGAACUCAACUUCACUAAGAAGGGAUAAAGAAAAACAUUUUGCUUAGAAGCAAGGAAGACCUUUUGCUUCACAUCGAAAGGGGUAAAGUAAAGAAAGACCAUUUGGACUUGGAGGACCCUAAAAGCCUGCUUCAUUGGCUGUGUUGCUGCCUACUGCACCGCCUACCACCUUGCUGAUGCCAUUGUCGACUACAAUCAUACCCACACCCUCGACCCACAUCCAUCCUAGCCCUACUCUCUCACACUGACCUCCUCAAGGCCGUCUGGGCUCUCUUGGAUUGCCUUUGGGACCUCGACAACCCAACCAUCGGGCACUCAGCAGCUUCGAGAAGAAAUGGGUGAAAAAGGUGGCAACCAAUUGGGUCACUUCAAGAACCCCAGCUGAUUUGAUUAUGGAUCGGCUAAUCCGGACUCUUCGAGAGAAGUAGAGACUAGCGAACCUAGCGGCAACGACCUCAAUUGAACCCUAACUCAUUUAGAGCAAACUCAGCGAACCAAAUUAAGAAAUUGACCUCAGGCUUGAUACGAGCCGGAUCUCGGCCAAACCUGGGCUAGAUACUGGGUUUAGGCCUAACAUUAGGCUUGGUUUUCAAGCCUGGUUUGGGUUUGGGCUCAGACUGAAUUUGGGCUAGGCCAAAUAUCUACCAGAGCCCGACCAAAAAUAUUUAUGUAUUUUAAUUUUAAGUCCAAACUUGAACCAAGCUAACUCGGGCCUGGCUCAUAGCCCGAUCCGAAGUUGAGCUCAGCUAAAUGUACUUCCAGCCCUACCACUUGGAAGUGCAAACUUGACACUACAUAGACACAAGCUUCAGCAGUCCUGUGCCGAUCUUGUUCAUUUGGAAACAAGGAAAUGUUUUAGCUAGAAGAGAACAUCGGAUCACAAGACCAACCGUGUCUUGGAUGAGUAGCCAGCUAAGGAAAUAGAGGAUAAAAUGACCUAUUUGCAAUUCACUAUUUAAAAAAAAAAUAGAUGUUAGAUAAAUUAUAAGAUGAGGUCGAUACUCAUCUUUACUAUUUAAAAAUAAAAUUUUCAAAAAAAUGAAACAUUAUUACGGUAUAUUGAUCUCUAUAUACUUCAUGACAAUCGUGUGGUCCUGUUUAAUUGUCUGUGAGUCCACCAAUGAUGUAGGAUGAUUUUAUGAAUUUCGAUGUUAGAUAUUGUUUUGCUCUGCUUGCUUGCACUGCUUUUAUUUUAAGUGAUUGAAUGGAACAUUUAUUAUCGUGUGAUGAAAUGGAAUCCAAAUAUUUCUCUAGCUAACAUAUUGUCAUAUAAUUGUACUUAAUGUGGGUCCUAUUUAUAGAUCAAAUGGAAAAAAAAAACUUGAAAAUAAGAUGAGGUCGAUACUCAUCGAACCAUUUGUCAAUUAGAUGAAAGAGACCAUAGCUCCCAUUUGAUCAUUGGCGGAGGAGAAACAAAACCAAGAGAGAACAAAGUUUAAACUUGUGUUCCUAUUUUUUUAUAAAGUUUUCUAGGUAUCUGUUAGGAAAUUCUUUCUUGUCAUCCAUUUUGUCACUCCUAGAUCACCUAUACCUUGCUUAAUCAAAUGAUAGAUAAGGAAGAACAAAGGUUCAUUAGAUAAAUACUAUAAAUUAAUUAAAAUAAAUAACUAAAAUAAGAUAAAAUUUAAAAAUAUCAUAAAUUAUAUUGAUUAAUAACUAAAAUGUGAAUAAAAAUAAAGGCAACAACUAUUACAAAAAUACAAAGAUAUUAUAAAAUUAAAAAGUACUCAAUCUAAACUAACAAUUUUGAAUAUAUAUAUAUAUACACACACACAAACACAUAUAUUCAUCCAUAUGUUUAAUUAUAGAUGCUUAGUUCUAAUCAAAGAAGUUUUGGAUAUGUGAAAUAAUUAAAUAAGGUAAAUGACAAAAUUAUUUAUGAGGAUCCAUGCGGGUGUAUGUUUAGUCCCAUAUCGGUUAUUCGUUGGAUAGAUUUUAGGUACUUUUAUAGAAUCAAAAAAUACAAAUAAUAUUUUUCGGCUAGCCUUUUUGGAUGUGAUCCUGAAUUGUUGCAAAUGGUAUAAUACAAUUUGAUUGAUUAUGAAAUUAUCACAAACGGGGUUUGAUGCACAUGAGCAAUUCUUUUUACCAUAUACCUCUUGGCAUGCUUCACUUUACAUGCAUAAUCCAAUUUUCAUUUAUCUAUAUUUUCCAAAAAUUUUGAAAUGGUUGAUGAUCUUUUUCUACAUUAAAGUUAUAUCUAGAUUUCAGGAAUGAAAAGAAUCAAAAUAAAAUGGAAAUAGAAGGUAAGGAAUUGAAAUUGCGAUUCCAAUUUCAUUGCUUAGAUAUAAAAAGAAGGAUUGCAUGGAAAUAGAAUAGCAAUUCAAUUCCAUUAAUUUUCUUUAAUUAUUACGACAUUAUUUAUAGUUUCAUUUUUUAUUUUCAUAUUUUUAUUAGUCGAUCUUUAUUCUAUUUUUAUUUUAUAUAUAUCCCCCCUUUUUUUUCUAAUGACAUGGUACGAACAUUUUGAACGCACGAGAUGUCCACUUCCUUGCCACUAGUUAGUAUGUCCUCUCCUAUCCACUCUGCUCUACAAAAGCAGUUCCUGAUAAGUUUUGGCUUCUCCAGCAGUUCUGGUCCAAUUUCAACACCAUUGAACCGAGUAAAUCACUGCGACAGUUCAACUAUAACAUUCCCCUGCCCCAUUUAGGAUGCUAUCCAUAGUCUUUGAUAUAAUCAAAUCACAUAUCUUCAAUUCCUUCUCAUCCCAAGAACACAAAUCCAAUGGAGUUGUCCAACCCAUCCACCUGCACUCUCAUUUCUUUAGGUGGGACAAAACUCUUUUAGAGAAAGAUUUGAAAAUUUUUAUUAAAAUUUUGAGGAAAAAUUAUUUUAUAAUUAACACAAAUCUCCUCUCCUGGCUUAAAAAGCUACGUGAGCUUCUCAAGGACUCUAAUAAAAUGAAUAAAAAAAAAUACCCUAUAAUCUCUUUUCCACAUGCUCAAUUCCAACGCUCAUGAAAAAAAAGUUAUUUUUUUAAUUAAAACUUUUGUAGAUUAGAAAUUAUUUUUAAUUAAAAUCAGGCACAUAUAAUUAGAUGUGCAUAUGGAUAAAAUUAGUAUUAUAAAUUAAAAAAAAUUCUAUAUAUUUUAAAAAAAUUAAUAGUUGUCCGCAUGGGAAGAGAAUCGCAAGUGUGGAAUAUAUGAUAUAAAUACGAGAUCCAAACCGGUCAUAUGGAAAUAGGGGCAUAACGGUCAUAUGGAAAUAAUAACGUCCGCUGGAACCGGUUGCUUCGCUUCCCGAGGAGGCGAGCAACGCGACGCGGCCGGUGCGACAGCUCACCAGCCUGCGCAACGUACACCGCCACCUCACCCCCAACAGUCCGUACAUCAAAUUUUGCUCCUCCUAAGCCAACUUAGCUUAAUAUGUUCCCACGCUUAAAGACAAAACCUAGCAACACUCAACACGUGCCCUAGCUCGCCUUAUUGGUAAAAUUCUGUUGAUAUGGAUGGUGCCGGUGGCGCCGGGAGGGACAACAAAACAUCAAGUUUCAUGCUGUCGCUGCCGCCGACUUCUCAACCAUAUCCACCAGUCCCACCAGUGGAAAAAGACAAGUGGAUCAUAUUUUCGCCCAUCAUUUGUUUUCUUUUGUCGAUUUGCAAGCAAUUCUUAUCAUGGGCCGAAACAUAUCAGAGGAUGAGUGCUACUUGGUGGCAGAAAAGAUGGUGCAAAUUUCACCAUCAGAAGCCGAGCCCUAAAAUAAUUGUUACCGGUAGAUAUCAGAUUUUCGAUAUUUCUAUUUUAGAAUAAAAUUAAAAAUAAUUUAGGCCGGUAUGUGCCAAAUAUGGCUUGUUUUAUAGGCUAACACAGUCAGUAUUUUAAAAUGAUUGGGCUAUGAUAAUUGGCUGGAUUUAGAAAGCAAUAAUGGUGUAGGUGGGUAUCAUUGUUUUGAUUGUUAUUUUUAAAUAGAUUCACACCAGACUAGACCGUCUUGCAGUAAAAAAAAAAAAAAAAAAACCAAUCCAUUGUAAACCUUUCAUCAAUAAUAAUUAAUAAACGGGUGAGAAUAUAAGCAUUUAAAAUAAUUCUGACAUCUUUUCAGAAGUCUUUCGCGAGCAGAAAAAAAACUUUUAGCCAUUGUCAUAAAUACUUUUAUCCUUACGCGUCAAAAUAAAGGAACAAAACGUCUACUCAACCUCCAUGACCAUACUUUCUAGAAACCAACCAUCAGUUGACACGUAAACCUCUUCGUCUCCUACAAAUCGCAGCCUGCAGUUUAGUCCCCUACGACGCUGUUUGGAAUACUAUUCCACACAGCCGAUCUUUUUCAUUUAAGUGCUAUCCGGGGAACUGCCGAGUCGGUCUAGCUUUUACUCCCUCCCAGCCUCCACCCCCCUCCCCUCCCCUCCUCUCUCUCUCUCGAAAUUAUUUCUUUCUUCUCUGUCUUAAUAAAUUCUUUCGGCAACAUCUCAGUUACAGUUGUGCUGAGGCCUAGGGUUCCACGUCUCAUCCUAUUUCGCUACCAAAUUAAAAUUCCCUUCUCUUGGUCGGUGAUUUUAUUGGAGACGAAGUUGGAUUCUUUUUUCCAUCGUUCCGUGAGGGAAGUCUAGUUACCAUUCGGAAGUAAGUUGUUGUCGAUCUCCCACCCCACUUGAUUUGUUUAGUUUCUGGUAGAAGUUUGGUGUUUGAUUUGGUUUCUAUCUUUUUUUGUGUGUGUCUUCUGGAUUUAUAGAUCGAAGGAGUUUGGUGAUCGCAGAGAGAACGUAAAACGAGGGAUGGGCCAAGUGCUUCUGGAAAUCGAACCACCGGAACUGAAGUUCACCUGUAAGUUGGUAGAAGAAUCGAAGUAGUCUCGUGAGCUUUGAAAACCGAUCGUUUAUUUUUAUAACAUGGAACAUCGUAGAUGCUCCAAAGGAUACGCAUAGCUGCUAUUUUUUUUUAUUAUUGUUUUUAAUAGGUAGCGUACGGAAAAGUAUCCACUUUGAUUCUGUCUUUUUUGGAAAUAUAUAGCUGAAUCUGAUGACACUGGAAUAUAUUCCAACACUUACCAUCUGAUCGUGUUGUCCCGCUGUUGAUUCUCCGCUGGGACCCACUAACUGAUGUGUGACCCGCCUGAACGGACGCCGGGGGAUUAGAGGACCCGAACAUGGACAUGCUUGUAAUGCUACUUGCCUAUUGUGGUACUUGGAUGGUGUCAAGAUUUUUGUUUGAGAAGAGGAAAUGGGUGAAAACUAUAUACAUUUUCUAAGAUUAUCGAAAUGUUUCAGAAUCAAUAAUGGAGCAAGUCUAUGAUGAAUAAUUUCAUAUAAGUUAGUUAAUUCUUAAUAUCAAAUAUAUGCAUGGUCUUUUCUGUUCUUUUGAUGGGAAAAGUAGAUUAAUGGACUAGGAUCACAUGCAAUUUUCCCAGCACAAACCAUGAGAAAGAAUGAGUAAAUGAACAAUGUAGAAAUAUAUGAUGUACCUUUCGGAAUGUCACCAAGUAAGAAGGAAAUGUAAGGGUAUAAUUGUAACAACCAAGGACCUCACCUAAAAGGCUAGCCGAAAAGUUUUUGAUGGAUCAUACCUCACCUGAAGACCCUAUCUAAUAGCCUCAUGCUCUUUGAAUGUCUUCGGGAGGAUCAAACAUGGUUCCUCUUAUGUGAUAGUUAUCUGAUUUUAACAUUUGAUUCAAUUCUAAAGCCAAAAAAGAAAGUUUUGAAAGAAAAGAAAAUGGGGAAUAAUUGGUCACCUUGAUUUUUUGCCUUUGAUGACCUUUUAUAUCCCCAAGAUUAACAAUAUAAAAAUUGACAGGAAAAGAACUGUAGAUUGUCACUAAGAGAACCAAGGUUUUUGGAUGAAUUUAAAAGGGGGAACCAAGUAUGGAGUAGUAACUAUUGGCAUGUAUCAGCUACAUUUGACAUGAAAAGCACCGGUGUAGACUGAUAGGCAGUGAUACAAGCUAACAUUAAUGUGACAAAGGCACACAUCCUUUUAUUGUGUGCAUAGCUUGCUGACAUAAUAUGUCUCCUAGGAUAUUGUAUGACAUGAACUGGCAUUCUGAUCCUUUGACAUAGCUUGGAGAAUAUUCCACCACUCUUGUUUUAGACCACAACUAGCUACUUGAGUCCAUGUGAUUCUGAUAAGAAGUUCUGUCUGAUCCCAAUAUCAUUUGUCAUUUUCUGAUAAUCUGUUGCCUUGAUUUUUUGGUUGCCUGCUAUGAUUUUUCAUCUGAUAAUUUGUUGUGUUACAGAGCAUAAAUUUCUCCCAUAAUUUUUGUUAAUUUGAUAUGCUUCCUCUGUUGUUUGUAUAAAUAUAGCAGUAUAUAUGAUUUCUCAUUUCUCCUUUUAUUAUUAUUGUUGUACCUUAUCAUAGGUUUCAUUGUCAUAGGUUUGUAUAUGUCUCUUUUCUGAUUUGGAUACGGGCAGGAGUCUUACAGAUUGUAAUGUCUUUCUUUCUGUCAGUUGAGUUGAAGAAGCAGAGUUCGUGUUCGGUACAUCUUGUCAAUAAAACCGAUGAUUACGUUGCCUUCAAAGUUAGUGCUUCUUGCUUUUUUUUUUUCUUGCAUGUGUUUUAUUCAUAAUGUGGCUGCUUAUAAAGAGCAGUGGUUUAGGGGUUGCAAAUUCUGCUUUGUUGCCUCUUGAAAAAUUAUGUGCUUACAAGAGCUUUGUGAUUAUUCCCAUGGAUUUUUAAGAUCAUUCAUUAGGGCAGGUUUCUGGUGUUAUUUCUGGAUCUGUCUUUCGGUAGCACGAGUAACUAAUUUUUGAAUUGCUUAUGCUAGUUGUCCAUGGUCACCUAUGCCUUCCUAAAUUUCUGUUCUUAGUUCUGUUCAUUUUUUCACUAUUAUCAUUGAUCACUAAAAUGCCUUUUGCACUCAAAUUUUCCCCCUCGCUGCCAACCAUAUACAUGAAAAAAAUGUAGUCUCAAUUUAUUUUUCAUUUGGGAAUCACUUAGUACCAUGAAAUGUUGAUCCUCCAUUCUGGCUCUGUCAUUAUAUAUUAGAUUGAAUCAUAAUAGUGACUGAUUGGACUAUGAUGCAUCUACUAGGUCAAAACUACAUCACCCAAGAGAUACUGUGUGCGACCAAACACAGGUGUCAUUCUACCAAGAUCAACAUGUGAUUUUACAGGUAGCUAUACAUAUAUACAAUUGCUAUUAGCACGUUGCUGUUUGUUUAAUAAAAGAGAUGCGGCAUCAAGUUGCAUACUUGCCUAAUCCUCAAAUUAUAUAAUGUCAUUUUGCUUCACAUGUAUGCUGAUCAUCGAAAUCUUAUAUCCUCAAAUUCUACUGACUUGUCAUAUAUUUUUAUGAUUUUUACAUCUUGUAAGUAAAGCUCCCUCAUUGACUUUGUAAUACUAUUCUUCAUUUCGAAUCAACACAAUGGCUGCAAGAAUAUUGCUUCUGGUGACUCAAAUGAGAAGCCUUGAAUGGUGUAGCUAAUCUCAUGUAAACCCUGCAGAAAUCUCAUUAUAUGCAUUUCUAUAUAGAGGAGAGAAUGUGAUUGAGAAGGAGGAACUAAACAACAAUGAAGGUGGUACUUAGAACCUAAUUAAAAGAUCGAGGCAUAAAUUAUAGAUGGCAUUGGCUUCAAAUAAAAACCAGGUCAUCUAAUCUUUAAGUUUAAUCAGUUCGCUAACUACUCGGCUGCAUGGUCUAGGAUUUGCCAGCAGUUCUAAUUGGUUAGUAGUGAAUUUGAAUUGGUCCCUUACAGGGUCACUUCCACGUAGUCCUGCUUGUGGAACUUGAUCGAUAAGCACUCUUUACAAAAAGGUUUAUUUCAUAUUGACAUUACUACUACUUGAAGGAAAUAUGCAGAUCAAAGACUUGUGGAACUUGAUCGAUAAGCAAUUGUUACAAAAAGGUUUAUUUCAUAUUGACAUUACUACUACUUGAAGGAAAUAUGCAGAUCAAAGAAGGUCUUUUUCCAUGAACAUGGUGUCUCAGGAAUUUCAGUUCUGCAACUUAAGGCGUUGCUUCCAAUCAUAUAAUGUAAUAAACAAGGAGAGCUCUUCCUUACAAUGUUAAUACAAUUUCUUAUAAGUUCAUAUUCUACAAAACUCUGCUGGAUUUGUGAAAUCGGGCCCUAGUGUCUGUUCAAGGCCAUAAAUGCACCCUUUUUAGUUUUGAGUUCUUCUCUAUUCAGCAGUAAAUCCUGUGUUGAUGCAUAUACAUCUUCUUUUAUAUAUUUGGGAAAGAAAGUUAUUUUUAACUUCUUGGUAGAUCUCAUCCUUCAGAAUGGCUGCAAGAGAUGUGGUAAUGGAAAGGGAGUUAAGUCAUCCAGCGGAGAGGUAUUAAAUCAGUUAGGUCCAUAUGCAUGUUACGUGAUGCCUAGUUUGGGUUUUGUUAUCAUUAUACUUCAUGGACCUACCUAUAUGCAUUAAUUAUUUCCCUUUAGGAAGAGGAAUGACUUGAUAAUUGUUAUUUUCAUGGAGAGAAAUCUGUGUUGUCCUUGCAUUGUGAUGCUUCCAACCAUCAUGAGAAAGGCUUCAACCAAAGAUUUAAGGAUAAAGUUGGGAGGACAAGGAACAAUCAAACUAAUGAUAACCUGAAUUGAAGCUACUCAAGGAAGUAAAUUAGUGAUUGGAUGAGUAGUAACACAUGUUUAGUUUUCCAUUUUAUAGUAGGAACUACAGGACCCUCCAGAUCCUUAUUCUUGCUAUGGCAGGAGAGCUACUAAGUCUUAAGUAGUUAAUAGGGUGUUAAAGUUAACUAACUUCUAAAAUAUUGUAAGAUGAAAAAGGAAUUUUCUUGAAAAAGGUAACAAUAGCAAUCAUGAACUUUUGAUGAUAUCAAAGGUUGUUGCAUUUAUGACCCUUUUGUUGUCUGAGGAAAAGCAGCACACUUGGAGUGAGCAUUCAACAAAAAGAAGAUAAAAAACAAUCGUUGCCCGGGGGAGAUAGGCGACAAUAUCAUGAUUGGCCCAUGUUGGCUUUCGAAAGUAGUCCUGGCCCAUGUUGGCUUUUGAAAGUAGUCCUGAAAUUUGACUCCACUGUGUCAAAAAACAUCUACAACUGUGCAGAUAUUACUUGGGCCUCUGGCUACACUGGAAUCACAAUCACCAUGACAAUUCUGAAUUCUGCAUUUACUAAAUGACUUACCAUGAUCAAGAGUUAUACGGACUUAUCACCAGGUAUUCAAAUAGGUAAGGGAAAACAGGUAGACGUGGCAUUCAUGAGCAUAAUUGUACUUUCAAGGUAUCACUUGUAAGAAUAGAUGGUUGCACUUCCUCAAACAAGCUAUGGAUGUGGCCAGUCUAUUUCUUUUCAUAUAAUUUCUCUGAGUGUGUAUCACUUGUUAAAUGUUUGUAGAGAUUCAGUCCAUCAAGUACUUCAUGAGUGCAGCAUAAGUUUCUGCAAGACCUUGUUAAACAUUCGAAGGCAAAAAAAAACUCAAGCCAGAUUUUUGUUUGUUAAAUAUAUCACUUUUAUUGCAUCCUUCUUCUUUGAUUUCUCAAAGGCUAUUCCGUGGCUUCAUUAUAUCAUAAAACUAUGUCAUGAUUUGUGCAUCUAAAUUAACCAUACAUCAAUAUUCAUGUGCACUCCUAUGACAACUUAGAUGCUUCUCUCCUUAGUAUCACCAUGAAGGUAGUCUUGUUAGUGGACUAUUCUGAGCCGUUUCUUUUGUUUAAGUUAAUUCAUUUAAUAGAUAUUUUAUCCCUGGAAAUCACUCUGUGGAAGUAAAAUCAGCAAAAGAGCUCAUCUACUAGCUGGCUUUGAAAUUAUAUGAUAUGCAAGCCAAAGAGUAGAAAUUAUGGUAGAACAGUGGAGAUAGAAUAGUGAUAUAUAGUAGUAUGAAAAAAGAAUGCUAAUGUGAAGACUAAGAGAGGAGAGGAGCGCACUCAAUGUGCAAAUGGGCUCUUUCUGUGGUAUGGAAGAUCAUGUUAGUUCAUCAUGUGAAUUUCCUCAGAACAAAUUUGAUGCCAGAAAUGCGACUUUUGAUUCUCAUUGUCACCAUUCCCAACUAAAAUGAACCUAAAAGUCAAUGCCGCUAUACGAACACAAUAAUGGUUAUUGUGCAUCACAUUUUAGUUUUAUCACCUAGAUUCUGCAUUCAUUAUUGAAUUCUUUUUGUUGGCCUUCAGUGUUUCUAACUGAAACAAACCUAGGAGUUAAUAUCACUGUGUAGGAUCAUAUUAUGGCAACUGUGCUUGGUGCUUUAAAUUUAUCUCUUAGAUUUCUUAUUAGUAUUAGUUACUUUCUUUUUAGCUGAUCUCUGUGUUGCUGAUUCAAUCUCAAUCUAGUUACCAUGCAAGCUCAAAAGGCAGCUCCUCCUGAUAUGCAGUUAAGAGAUAAGUUCCUAGUUCAGAGUACAGUUGUUUCAUAUGGCACCAUGGAUGAGGAAAUUAUGCCGAGCUCUGUGAGUAUAUAUUGUUGCCCUGAAUGUUGACUUUUUGUUUUCUCCUUCUAUAAUCCUCUUCAUUUUCCUGGUUCAGUUUUCUAAAGCAAAUGGCAGAUAUAUUGAAGAGAACAAAAUGAGAGUCAUUCUGGUUAGCCCACCUCAUUUUCCAGUACCGCAACCAAUUAAUGGAGCUUUAAAGCAGGAGCCAGUUUACGAAGCACCUAAUUUGAAAGAAACUCCUGUUUCAACCAAUCAAGAAAUGAAUGGUGUCGAGAAUCUUCACCCAUUUCAUGUAAGAGAUUUUGUUCCAGCUUCACAUCAUGUCAUUUUAUGUUUUGCUAUGACCCUAAGGUACUGCACCUUAUAUUUUGCUGCAAUUUUAUCAUUAUUUAUAUGAAAUUAAUAAAGAGCCUACUGGAUAAUGAAAUGCAUUCUAUUGAGAAGACAUAAUCAGUUUGGUUCUCCAUAUUAGUUUUUGAAUGAUCAGUCUUAGAAACAGUGCUUUUUAAUUUUUUUGUACAUAGAUAAUAUGGACACCAUAAUCUCUAUAUUCGUUUUGUGAAACAUCUCUUUUCAAUUGUCCAUUCAUAUUAUUUUCAGGUUGCCAAGGAUGUUGAGGAUCUAAAGUUGAAGCUGAACGUUCUUGAAGUGAAACUAAAUGAGGUCAGUUUUUAUACAUAUGACUUGAGUUUUGGCCUAGCUUGUAGUCUUUGAUACUUUUAUUCUUAAUGCCACUUUCUUGGAUCUUUUCUGCACCCCCAUGCUUACCUUUAUCAUUGGCCCAUCACAUGCUGUAAUCAGGAUUCUUGCUCAAAUUGGGGAUCUGCGGUUCCAGAUUUAUGCUUUCUAAGUUUAGGUAUAGAUAACAUAUGGUAGCAAGUAUCAUAAUAAUAAGUGAACACAGUUGCUCUCUGGUGAUACUGAGAAAUGGAAAUGAUGUUGUAAUGUCUGCUCUUCCAUUUGAGCAUACAAACUUUUUCUUAAAGGUUUUGUUUAGAUUUCAGACGUAACCUGCUUCCAAGUCCAUAUAAUUCUUCUCCACGAUCUAGCAUGGCAUAGAACAUAUUGUUAGUUAAAAUAGGCUUUUCUGUAUGUUAUUGAUAGAACUGCUGUAUUGCACAUAAAUCGAGGGAGCAGGUCACAGUAGGUGCAAGUGAUUUAUCGUUUUUUCUUUUAUAAAUCUAUUGUCAAAUUCUGCCGCACUUCUUCAUUGAAAUAUACUUUGUUAUUCAAAGGAUAAUCUUUGAAGUAUAAGAGAAAUGGGUAAUUUUCCAGGCUGAAAAUACAGUCACAAGGCUGAAAGAAGAGAAUGGUGCAGCCAUUCAAGAGAGGGAAAAGUUGCAACAAGAAAUAGUGAGUCUUAUUUUAUUUAGAAGCAAAUUUUUAUCUCUUGUAACACUACUGUUUUCUAGUUCAGAAAUUUGCAUCUUAUUUGACUGGGAAAUCAGGGAAAACCAAUUAAUUUCUAAACUCUAAUUCUAUUCCUUUUAAACUAUAUAACUGCUCUGAUUGACACUUUUCUAAGCCUUGCUUAUGCAGUAGUCUAUAGAGCAUUGCAAUAACGAAGAAUAGAACCUUUUCUUCAUGAGGCUUCUUCUGCACUCCCCACGUCCACCCAAAAAAGGGGACUAUUUUGUAUGCUUGAAUUGCUUCUUGUGCCUCUAAUUUCUUUAGACCUUCCAAUUAGAUGAGCAGCAACCAUUUUGUUACAUCAAGUUCAAGUAGCUCAUGAAUAAAUUAGUGCACACAUUGCUGUGCAGUUGCUUGAUGAUUUCCUGCCUUACAUAAUUUAUCUUUGCAUAUUUGAUAUCUUUAUGCACCUUUGAGAAUCAAACAUUUAUGUAGUGGCUGGUCAUUCACUCAGACUAGCAUUCUUAUUUAUGUCCUAGUAUGAUUUCGUCCUCUUUAUUCAGUUUGUCAGUACCUUCUUGUGGAAACCAUUCUCUUAUAGAAUGUAAUGGGUCUCUGAUAUCUUGGUGUCUAAUUUCAGAUAUUGUUCAGAAGGAAGUGUAUGGCAGGGACUCAGGUUGGUUUUCCCUUUUUGUUUCUGGUUUUCAUGACAAUAGUUGGUGUGGCCCUUGGAUACCUGUUGCACCCAUGAGAGACGGAACGAAAAGCAAAGACAAGCACAGCUGCUUUGGAGCUGGAUGCUACAAUCUGUGAUAUCAAAUGCAAUAGAAAACUACUCUUUCCCGAGGAUAAAAGAUAAAAUGCAUCAUGUAUAUCUCUCUAUUCUGAUGGUUUUGCACCAGAGAAAAUAUAUUAGGUUACAAAAGACAGUUUUUACGUUGUAUAGAGGGACAAUUUGAGAUGUUCUCUCCUCGCAGACUAACCUUGAUUUUUUUUUUUCAUAAUAAUAAAGCAUGUUGAUAAUUUUAUAUCAGAUUGUUUCCAUCCUCACUUUAUUGGCCAUGUUUAGGAAAAAUCUGCUGAACCUUGAGCUAUACUUUGGAGUUUGGACUACCGAAAAUUGGCUUGAUGAUUUUUAUUGGAUAUGUAAAACUGACAGUCACGGUGGCCUUUAAUGGGCCUUUAUCGCCUGAGAAGGUUCAAUUCACCAUGUUAGAAUCUUUUCUAGAAUUCUGACUCUGUUUCAAAGGCAGGAGAAAUGAAGGGCAAUCUGAUGAAGUGCCAAAAGAUCUCUGCUCUCAAAUGCUCUCAUUGCAGUAUCCAUAUAGAGUGACUAGGAUGGUGGUGAUACCUUGUUCUCUAAAAUGCUAACAUUCAGAGUGGAAUAUGAUGACGCCACAUACGACUGAUGGCUCAGCUUGUAGUGGAAGUGAGUCUGUUUCUGUGGCUGAUGAAUCCCCCAGCCAAGGAUUGGAUUAUCAAAGUGGAACUGGGAAAUUUGAAUGCUGUUAUGGAACGUGAUGAUUGCAGAUAUCCACAAAUUCAGAGAGCACUUUGGGGCAUUUAAAUUCUUCCAGCUUAUAACGACAUCCAAAAGGUGAAAUCUGUUUCUUGCUUGCUUGGGCUUAAUUGGGGGAGAAUGGUCCCACAUCUAAGCCAGGUUAGAAGUGGUGCAAAUUGCUUUCUUUUUUUGGGAGAAAAUGGAGCAGAAAUUUUCAGAUUCAGUAUUUUACUUUUGAAUAUGAUAUUUGAAAAAUAGUAUGAAAUGGUUUCCAUCUAAUAGUAUAUUAUGCUUUGGGUGGAGAAAAUUUUAGUUCUGUUUUGCACUUUAAUUAUCUUUUGAGUAUUUCACUUGUACCAGGCUUUAUUUAGUAAUUUUCCUUUUCUAUUCAAAACUAUGAUAUUUAGGUUAUAUAAUAUAUUUCUACAUGUUUACUAAAAAAUUCUGUGUCGAUAGAGCUUUAAAACCAUUUGGUCUCAGCUUUUUGUACCUGAAAUGAAGUAUCAUGUACAUGGUCAUCCAACAUACUAGAUUUUCUGCGGAAAAUUUUAAAAUUAUCACCAUGUAUGUUGAUUAAGAAAAAUUUGAAGGGAUUAGCAAAGGGUUGGAAGGAGAGAGUGAACUCAUAAUUCCUACACAAGUAGGCAGAAUCAUCUUUUUGUUCGAAUUCAUUAUCCUAAUUUCUUGGAGUUUGUUGUGUUUACAUCCUCUUUCAGUCCCUGCAAACUCCCCUUCCAUGGGUUUGCUAAGAAUUGUUUCUUAUGCGGGAGUUAGGCCAUUGCCCUUGCAGAUAAAAGAACCUCUUUAGCUAAGGAUUUUCUUAUCUUGGACAUUGGUUCUUCGUAUUUCAUUUUAAGUAUAGUAUUACUCCUUCAACUGUAAUCAUUUGCCAGUAGGGCUUGACUCUUUAGUCCUCUCUUGGUACCACUUAUAGUGCAUGCACGAAAGAAAGGUUCCGAGUUCAUUUUUGAAAGGUGGCAUUUUUCUUUGAAUUUACCACAAAAAUGUAAUAAUUUUGAGCAGCGGAGGAAGAGAGAAGAGGGAAUAUGAGUAAAGGGUGAGAUGAUUUCUAGUAUAUUGGAAAUCUUAGAUGUGCAUGAUCCACAACCUCCCCCAAUCUGUCCCACUUUUACAUCUUACUUGGUUCCCAAUCCAUUCCCACUCAUGUGGAAGAUAUACCACAGAAGAUGGUGAGGCAUCAAACAGAACCCUGAAAGAGGUUUAUAUACCUUUUCCCUUUUGGCCGCUGCAAAAUUUAUUCUUAUUUCAUAUAUUCUUUAUCAACAAAAUUUCUGAUUAAGGAUUCCAUGCCAUUUUAUAUGGUAUUCACAGGAUCACAACGACAUAUUCCAAGAUUUAGGAGCUACACCUGCUGAAUUCCAGUUUCAACAUCUACACAAAAUUUUAUGCAUUCAUAUUGUCUGCUUGUGUACUCUCUAUAGUUAAUGGUAGUCUCGGUAAGAUUUUACAUUGUUGGGAUUAUGGGGAUAUCUGUCACUCAUGCACAUCGAUUGAGUUCAUAUCUUGUUUCAUACGAACAAAAGGUAUUGUACACAGGAUUAUAUGCAAUUUAGUGUACUUAAAUAGUGCAUGGUUGCUCGUCCUCGCACAUAUUCUGUUAAGUGAACAGAGGUCCUAGAAGAAUGUCAUGUUCUCUAUCUCUACUUUUGCAAUAGAAUCAGAGGCAUGUUUAGUUGGGAAAAGUUGAGACUCUGAAAUGUGAAUGUGAAUGGGAAUGAGUGACUUUCAUUUCGGCCAUUUGGUUGGAGGGAGUCCCAUUUUCAUUUUGACUCUAGAGCGGAAUGAGAAUGUGCCCAAUUUCUUAAAACUUAAUCCCUACCCUUCCAUAGUAUUCAAAUUCUAUUUUAAAUUUGGUCAUGAAUCAAAUAUGUUGGGAGAUAUGGCUAUAUUGCGAUUCUGAUUCUGAUUCCAACCGUGAACUAAACACUACCCAAGAGUGGUUCCCAAUUUCUCAUUCUCCCUCUCAGCAGCCUUGAUUCAUUACCAGUGAUAUGGUUCUUCAGAUCCAAGUCAUCCCGCGCAGACAACUUGUCAGGGCCUUUGUCCGGCCGAAAGGAGGGAAAGUUGAAGUUGAAGAACAAAGCUCCAAGGUGCAACUCUGUCUCCUUGAACAUCAUUAUUGCCAUGUUAUUAUUAUAAAGCUUAAAGCUAUUUCUAUUGUAGUGUGGUCCAUCAUAGAAUUGCUGAGCCUGAUAAAUAUCUCCUUGUUAGUUAUGUUAAUUCACAAGGGAAAGCCUGACUAGAUAAAUAACUUCAAAUGAAGCUGUACACCUCUCUUCUGUGUCUAUCCGUAGAUUCCACAUCUAAUUCAAAAGAUUGGGCUGCUCUAUCAACAUCAGUUAAUCUGGGGCCUUUUCUAAUCUAAUUUAUCAUUAUGUAGAUUCUCUCUCAUCUCAGGGAUCCUUCCAAUAAACACGAUCAUAAUCAUCAAUAUACUUACAACAUCACAUAUUAAGACUGAAACUCUUAUUGUAACUUAUAAAAAAAAAAUGUUUUGCCAAAUAUAAGCCAGUUUUUCUGAACUAAGACCAUCAUGUUUCUCAUGGUUGUUGAAUUCAUCAUGGGUUUUCCUUCAUAAAACUAAGCAGCAACCAAACAACAUCUUCAAGAAGGAAGCAACUUGUUUUUUAAACAUAACAUAUACUUCCCAAAAUAUUAUAUAAUCAACAGCUCAAACUCAUUGUACAACAUAAAAUGGCAGCUCACAUAUAUAUCUAGAUGCACGAUAUAAAUCUAGAUGCCUCAAAAAUUUAGCAGCAGAUGACAAGUUUGUGCUACAUAUCUCUAUUUUUUUUUUCUUUUCUUUUCUUUCUUUUUUCUUUUUUUGGUGCUAAAAACGGACGCUUCAUACAGUUCUAGCACGGAUACAUCCAAUAAAAUCAGAUAACAAUAAAUUUCAAAGUGUUCUGGACAACUCCUCCUCCUCCUCGGCCCCUAAGGUAUCUCCGGAACGACAAGCCACGUAAAAAGCCACCCAAUCUGCAGUUUCGUUGGCCUGUCUAAAUACAUGCUUAGUCCGAAAGGCCACUUCAUCACUCACCAUAGUCCAAAUAUUCUAAAGCAGGAGUGUCCCCCUCCACCGCCACUCGGGCCAUCCUAGAUCCAGUUGAUCACAGUGGCUAAGUCACCCUCCAAUAUAACUGAGCAGGUCUGUAGCACACGCCGAGCAUGACUCAGGCCGGGCCUAUGCUUACGUAUCUCUACCAAUGAUAUUAUCAGCCUAUUUCAGUAAUUCCGCAUAUCCCUACUACUCAAUACAUAUAUUAACAGUGCACAGAGCAGUACCCUUAAGCUGCUUGCAUCUCUCGAUCCACCGAUAGGGAUAACUUCUCCUCCUUGUUGCUUGGCAAAUCAUCAGAAUCCAUCUCUGACUGGGCCAUGCUCCUUACGAACUCCAUAAACAGAGGCCAAUGCUCUGGCGAGAAGAAGAAAGCGCCCAUUCUGUGAUACGUAAAAGAAUCGACACUUGAAUUCUCUGCAGAUAGAAUUUCCUUAAUUCUUCUAAAACCUUCUACGCCGAUGCCAUCAAGCGAAGAAUUCUCCCCGGAAACCCUCACCCCAUGCUUCUCACACGCCUUCAUUAUCUGAGAUAGCAGCGACUCGGGGCUCGAUCUCAGGCCAUGAGGUUGCUCCUUGCCCAAGAGGUCCAUUCCAGGGAUGAUCAUUGCACAAGAAUUCCUUGCGAACAUCUCGCCGACGGCAUCGUACCCGUCCCUUCCAUAUGUGUUGUAGAAUCCAGCAGUCAGCUGAGCCGGCCGGGACCGGGUGUCGUGCCACCAGGGCAAAAGUGGCACCUUUGCAGACAGAGUCACCGGCAAAUCACCAAACACUUUCGAUGCAGUUGAGAGCAUCCGAUCACCAUGGGAUAGGAGCUGCCCUGAGUACCAGGAGAGGAAGAAAUUUCCAUAGGGGGUCUCCCACGAGCCGCCAUUCUCCCUGAAGAAGUUGCCGGAAUCCGGCGACUGGUCGUACUCCGGGGCAUUAUGGGGACCAGAGAGGCCCCACAGUGGGUUUCCGGACUCCUCGGCAUGCCGUUUGAGAUCGGCCAGCAUGUAUUUAUCGUAGCAUUGGAAUUCUCCGACGCCUGUAAACAGAUGGCUUCCAGUGGAGGGGGGGAACGAGGGGUACCGGAGCUCGCCAUUGGGUCCGAGACUCACCGAAAUGUCCUGAAAAAGAAAUUGGGUGGCAAAGAGAGAGAAGCACGAAUUUUACAUCAAAGAAUGAAGAAAGAGUAUAAAGGUGGAGGCUUUUGAUCAAAAGACGCACAAAGGUGGAAGCUUUUUGCUUACCGUGAUGGUGGAGCCGAUGAAAUCGGAGAAGGCGGAACGGAAACUACGGAAGAACUCCUCGAAGGCUUGCAACGGGGUCUUGCCGUCGAGGACAGGGAGGUUGUCGACGGCGAGGGAGAGGCAGUCCUGGCGGCGGCGGCCGGAGCGGUCGGUGAAGAGGAGGUCGGGGUUGGCGUCGGCGAGGCGGGAGACCCAGUCGGGGAGGGGGAAGGCCGGGCGGCGGGAGGCGUGGAGGUGGAGGGAGACGCGGAGGCGGAGACCGGCGUCGCGGACCAUGUCGGCGAGGGCGAGGUAGGCGGACCAUUCGCCGGCAGCGGCGACGCCCCACCACACGGGGAGCUCGACGCCUUGGGCGCCGAGGAGCUUGAGGGCGCGGAGCCCCGCCGCGAUGGCCUUGGCGUGGUUCACGGCGUUGCAGUCGGAGACCGCGUCGAGAGGUAGACCCACGAAUAGCCGAACCGGACCGGUCUGAACCGAAACAAAAAGAACAAUUAAUUUUUUUCCCCAGAAUUCCAGUAAUCGGUAAAAUUGAAGUGAUCUGGACCGUUUAUGUUACCAAAACGCAUAGAGAUCUCUAUGGGGCAUCCCGAUUCCGUCCUUUAGGUGGACACGACCCCGAAAGCCAGGAUGACCCAUAGGGAGGUAUUAGCCGUCCGCAUAGAAACUUCUAUGCAAGGGUUUAAACGGGUGCCUUUUUUUGGUUUUUCUAGGUAUAUAUAUUUUUUAAAUAUUAGCAUUUGCAUGAACACUCCCUCAAAAUUGAUAUUUAUACGUAUAUCCUCAUUAAAUACUUAUAUAUAUUGCAUAUAUAUUCAUGCCGUCUAAUAUCAUUAAGAAGUUAGCGAUUUAAAAUUAAAAUAAUGAAAAUAUGAUUAUUGAUAAACAUGUAAAACAAAAAAGCUUAUAAGAGUGUAUAUAUAAAUAGUAAUUUUAGAAAAUAUUCAUACAAUUUUAUAUAUUUAGGAAGAUGUAUAUACAUAAAAAAAUCUUUUUAAUUUUUACAUAAAUAUUCUUCUAAAUAUUGAAUUUUUUUAUGAAUACCUUCUAAAUUAAUAUCGAAAUUGCAUAAAUAAAAAAAAUAAACUUAAAAUUUUUUAUAUAUGAAUCUUCUUAAAAAUCUGGAAUUGUAUAAAUAUUUUUGUAAAGCAUUAUUUGCAUAUAUAUUUUUAUUUUUUUAUUUUUAUUUUUUUUUUGCAAAACGACAGAGAUCUCUACGGGGCAGCCCGAUUCCAUUUUUUCGGUAGACACGACCCCGAAAGUCAGGAUGACCCAUAUAGAAACUUCUAUGCACGUGUUCAAACGGGUGCCUUUUUUUCUUUUCCCUUUGGUUUUUUUGGUGGAAGCGGAACAAAGGGCGUCUUUUUUUUCUUUUGAUGGUAAAGGGUGUCAUUUUUUCCACUUUUAUUAUUUCAAGGAAAAAGGCUUUGGGGCUCAACCAUGGUACAAAAGAGCAGAAGGUAGUGACCAAGAAGUUGGUUCCAUAUACGUACGCUGUUCUCUGUAUCGAGUUACACAGGCGAUUUACUCGAACAAGAUGGAUGAACAAACAAACAACAACAACUUCAAAUUCUUACGAUUUAUUUCCAUAUUACCCAAUAAAAUAAAAAAAGUACUUAGCUCUACCAGAUCUGUUAUCUUAAAUCUAACAUGAAACAUUAAAGAGAAGAGUUUACCGAUUUCUUUGGGGCGUUCAAUUCUGCCUCCCGGACGGCCAUCUCGGACCGGACGCCACUGCGAGCCAUCUUAACCGCCCCUUUCCGGCCCCUCCCGGUCGCCGGAUCGAAUCGGAUCCGGUCCACUCUGGACCCUGUCCGCCCCGAUUCAACGAGCCCAAGUUUCCUGGUCGCGAAGAGCUCCGGCUUCACCACGCCGGCCCGCCGGCCCAUCAACGCCACCUCCAUGGUUGUGUGUGAGAGAGAGAGAAAAGAGGGAGAAGGAUAUGAGAGGAGAUUAUUGGGGAUAGCUUCUUUGUUUUGCCUUGGUGGUUGGAGCGGAGGAGGAUAGUAGCUUAUAAAGAGGGCUCACAAUAGAGCAAAAAGUCCUUCCACGUGUCGAGCUCAUCUCUGGCUGCAGUGAAACUCGAUAUAAGUAUUCCUUUUUUUAAUCAUUCUAUGGGCCUCUUUUCUUGGUCCACGUUUGCCUACUAUUUCCUCUAGUUACCAAAAAUGCCCUUAGUUAUCGGGUCUAAUUGCAAAUAAUGGGUGCGGGAGCCUUUCGGAAUAGGGGAGGGUGUUUCCGUAAUUUAGACGGAGCAGCGAUUCCGUGCAGGUAUCCUGGGGAUAAUAACAUGGGGCGAGCAUGUGGGCCACGUGGCAGGUGUUCAUUGAGUGGUCGGAGAUGAACGAGGGCCACCGAUCGAGAUCCCCAACCGGUCGGAUAGGGCUGGAGUAGCAUUCGACAUGGAUCAGCUACAGUACACCCACUCAUGCAAUAGCACUAUUCUAUCGACACGUGUCUUCUGUAGAUAAAAUAGGUCAGGGACGAACUUCGGGUGGGAAUGAUCGAUGGAACACGUGGAGGCAUGCGUCUGGUGGUUGGGGGGGGAGACGCGUUGCAACCACCGGGGGACGAGAAGCUUCAUCAAACCGCGUCCGCUUUCUUGAUGGAGCCGACAGGGCGUAAGACGCGGUGUCCGGACGUGCACGUGGCCGUUGGAUGUGGUCUGGGUGGUGCUCGCUUACACGUCUGAUCAUUCCUUAUUAGCUUAUUUAUAUGUUUACUCAAAUUAGAACCCCAAGAUAACCCUCUCACUGAUGCAAGUGGGACCCGCAGCUGAUAGCUAAGAUUUUUCCCACUUUGGACAAAUGACACAUUGGCAAUUGUUUUGGAUAAGUAUCUCAUGCCUCAUCCUAACAUGUUGCGAGUGUUGAUGGCUAAGAGAUAUUUGCUAGAUAUGUAUUCGGCUCUUAGGCCCUAUUUGGAGGAACUAUUAAUAGUAGAGCUUUUGAAAAUAGAGCUGUUGGAAGUAGAGCUCUCUGAAGCAGAGCGUUUAUAAAAAACUGUUUGCUGUUUGGUAACUACAUUUCUGAAGUACUGUGGCACUUUAAUAUGUGUUUGGUAAAUAAACUGAGAAAGUAUUUUUGUGUGACAAAAUGACCAUAAAGGACAUUAUCAGUAUUAUAUAACAGAGCAUAAUAAAAUAUAACAUGUAUUAAUACAUAAAUAUAUGAUAUAGUACAAUAUUAAUGUAAUGUAAUAUAAUAUUAUUAUAAUAUAAUACUAUAACAUUAUGUAUUAUAGAAUAAUAAUUUAAUAUAAUAUUAAAUUAUUUAACAUAACAUAUCAAUGUAUUAUGAUAUAAUGUAAUAUAAUAUUAUAUUUAUAGUAUAAUACAAUAAUAAAUAUAUAAAAUAUUAUUAGUGUAAAUUAAUUUUUCAUCCUUCUAAUGACUAUUUAUCUCUCUAACAAAUUUUCUAACUAGGUGAUAAAAUUGGUUAAAUAAUUACUAAUAUUUGUUUUUAUUUAUUUAGAUCAGAUUAUUUGCUACUCACAUAUUAUUUUUUUAUUUAUUUAUUUUAUUUAUUUAUUAUUUUAUUUCAUUGAAAUAUAGAGGGGUCGCCGGCCAUGGGUGGUGGCCGGCAUGGUGGCUGCCACCGUGGGCAGCCACGAGCUCCCAAAACAAAAAAAAGAAAAAAUAGAGAAGAGGAAGAAGGAAAAGAGGCGACGACGUUGAGAGGAAGAAGAAGAUAGAGAGGGAGAGGGAGAGGGAGAGGAUGGGUGAGAGAGGAAAAGGCGGGAUGAGGAUUUUGGAAAAAAAAAGUGUGAUUUAAAAGGGGAUAUUUUGGUCCAAAAAAUAACUUUUUGACAAAGCUGAAAACAGCGUUUUUGGAAAGCUCCAAAUUGAAACUUCUCUCCAAAAGCUAUUUUCAGAUUCCCGCAAAAGCUGAAACAGUUUUCCGAAAAUUUUACCAAACACUAUUUUUUAUCUAAAAGUACUUUUGCAGGGCCAGAAAGUACUUUUUGGCCCUCCAAAAGCUCCCCCAAACAUGGCCUUAGAUUUGUUUUCUUCUUUAGGUUGAAUAUAAUUUUUUUAUCAAAAAUCUAUAACUUAUUACUUCAUGUAAAGUUGUUAACUCUUUGCAAGUUCAGAAAGGAUGCAUGAGCUAAACUUGCAAUUGAUAAGAUAUCUUCUUGAUUGGCUAUAUAUAAACUUUUUGGAGGCUCCUCAAUUCUUUAAAUUUGUCUUACCUAAGAAUGCAUCAUCAAUUUUUUUUUGGGGGUACAACGGGCUGAGUCAAGAUACAAUACGUAACAUAAAGAUGGGGUACAAUAUCAAUUCAUAUUCAUGAGAUUUCUCUGGAGUGAUGGGCAGCAAAGGAGCAUCAUCAAUUCUAAAAGAAUCUAACAAAUGGCUAAAGAUCUACUGAAUUCUUUAAUGGCGGAGCUUUAAUUUUUUUUCGACUAGAUAAUUGAAAGAAAAUGCCUUGAAUGAUAAUGUUUGAGGUGAUCUGGCAUGAAGACUAUCAAGUUAUUCUAGAAUAAUUUUGUACUACCAUCCCUAUUAACAUAUGAAACAUAUGUACUAUAUGGGUUAUCUCCAUGGGCGAGCAGGGACAUAAAUUGCGACUUGCUUUGGUAUUUCUUACCUAACAUAGCUAUUGUUCUCCAUUUAAAUCUUGACCCUGAAAAUUACAGAGAAUUAAAUAUGUAUUUAAAAUGUCACAUAGUUUAACCAGUAACAAUUAAAAAAAAGAAAGAAAGGUCCCUUCUACCUAAUCUCUCUCGUGCCUUAUAUGCGCAAAGAGUAGCAUAAAAAUGGCAGCAUAUGUUCUUCUUUUUCAUCAACAAUUGCAACAGCAAUAUAAUAUUUCUAAGCAAUGUUUUUCAGAAUGAACAUUAUAUUGCUAAAAAAUUGAGGCUAAGCCUCUAGAGGUCGGGUGGCUUGAUUUUGCUGGAAGAUGUAAGUUAGCAUUGGAAGAUUUGGUUCUUUGAUAAUUGGUUACUUGGGGUAUUUUCGCUAUCUGGUCUAGAUCUAUCUUGCUCUAAGAACUUUCUAAUACUAUUGACUCAUUUAAUUUUAUUUCUAUCACUGAUGUAUGUUUUUUGAUAGGUUUUUUAAUUUACCUUAUCAAAUAAGAUCUUGUUGAUCGUUUUUUUUAAAUUUACCUUAUCAAAGAGGAUUUAGAAUUCACCAUGUAAUAAAUGAUUGCAGUCAUUUUAAUUUGAUUCUCAAGGCCCUUUCCAUGAAUUGAUUCAUUAUUUGUCAUCGUCUCCUCAUGAAUUCUUCAUCACAAUCGAAACAUGAUUUUAAAUGACUACAAGAUGAUCUCAAUUAUUGAAGAAAUCCAUUAGAAAUUAGAUGAUUACAUCUAAAAUGGCAUAAGCUGAAAAUACGUUCGAAGAAAGAUAACAAGUUAAAAACUAAAACCUACAAGUUAUCAUAGCAAAUGUAGAAGUUACAAUAUAGCAGAGGGCAUAAAAGCCCAUCCAAUGUAGAAAACUUAGCCAUUUCUACAGUUUGAUGUGAUUUGCUAGAUCACCAUCUAAUAGACCCUUCGAUCAUUUAUAGAGAAACAAGGAUAGUUUCAUUUGUAAAAAAUUACAUUUGAGUAGUUGCUAUCUUUUAGUUAGGGAUUUCCUACGAUACUAGAUUUUCUCCAAGACAAAUAACUUCUUGUGUCCUUUUCUGCAUGACAUGUCCCUUUCUAGAAAAAGCCACGUGGCGCAUUCGGACGACCAAGAAAAGUGGUCGGCACAUAAGUUUAAAAUGUGUCAAACAGAAUAACUUGUUAACUUUAUCUGCUUAAUUAGUUGAAAAAAUUGUUGCAUAAAUAAGUGGUCAGCAAAUACUUCUAGAAUAAAAUAACAAAAGAUUUGAACUGGCACUUUAGUUGUGGGUUUAUUGGUUUAUUACUUCAAUCAUGAAAGAAAAUUACCUUGAACUAGAGGUGGCAAUGGAUUAUAUUAUAUUUUGUUUGGAUUGGGUCAAAUUAGGGCAACAUACAAACUUUGACUCCUCUUCGAUCCAACCAAGCACCGAGUUCCAAAUCUAAGGCCCGGAAACAAUCAACGGGUUGACCAUGAUUGCCUCUGGUUUGGGUUUAACCGCAACAUAUUCUAAAUCUCUGGUUUUUUUUUUUUUUUUUGCUACAACAGAUGACUCAUACACUUCUAGUAUAAAUAUAUCCAAAAAAGCCAAAAGAUAAUAAGUUUCAAAGUGCUAUAGGCAACUCCCUCUCACCAACCCAAACGGUUCCUCCAGAAUGAGCAGCCACAUACGAGGAUACCCAAUCCACAGCUUCAUUGGCCUUUUUGUAGAUAAAUUUAGCCGGAAAGACGACGUCUCCACCUACCAUGGCUCGAAUAUUCUGGAGCAAAGGAUGGCAGCCACCCAUUCUACCGGUGCCUCCUGGAUCCAGCCGAUCAUCAUAGUCGAGUCAUUCACCCACAACAACCACUCUGAAGUUUGAGCCUUUGAUGACGAAGUCUGCGCCACCCCUUCUGCCAUCGUCUAGCACGCAUCUAUCAAAGUUGAUCUUGAAAAAACUUGAAGAUGGGGGCUUCUAGGUGAAAAACACCGUCUGUGGCACUAUAAGAGUAGAUGUAGAGCCAUAGAUGCCCAAAACUAUCAAAGGCUUGUCCGAUGGACCUGCAUGGAUGAUUUUCGUUGUCUGUACCCGAGCUCACUCCACGAUGAAUCUAGGUGUAGGGCUGCUCUUUCCAACAGUUCAGGCAUUCUUAGCCAGCUAGAUAUGGUAAGUAGUAUAAGUUGCCACAAUGGCUACAUAUCGAAUUUGAGAAAUGGUGGCCCACUAUUUGAGCAUUGGAAAAAACCAACCAUGCGUAUGAUCCUUAUUCAAGGACAUGAAUCAACAAGACCUAAAUUAUCUUGAUUGAUAUAGAACUCUUCUCUUGCUGCCCGGGCGAGGUUAAGCUUUGAUCCAUAUUUGUUUAACUCAUGAGAAAAAGUUUGAUGCACGCUUUACCUAAACAACGUAACCUGGAACUAACUCAGUGCGAAGAGGAUUGAGCCAGGUUUCUGGGCUGGAUCAAAAAUUUGCCAGCUUUGCCAUAAAUCAAGUGGAAAUUAAAAUAUCUUAGAAAGAAUAAUAGCAGAUUAUCCAAGAGCAAGAAAUUUGAAUUGGUGCCGCCAACAUCCACUUAGCAUAGCUAAAUUUAGGGUAAUGUGAAACCGGAAUAAAAUUAUUUGCUUUGCCUCGUAUCUUAGUUAGAAAAUUAUGGAUUAAAUUUGCUUGCCUGUUAUUCUAUCUCCUGAAUUCGAAUUCUCCCAUUGUGGUUCCAAAAUUUCAGUUUAUGGAUUUUAUUUAGUAAAUCAUGUUCAAACAAGUUUAAGGCAUUGGAAACAAAUCUUUUUGGGCUCAACAUUAAUCAAAUAACAUUAAAUUAUACUCGUAACAUGCUCCAGUUUUUUUCGAGUUCAGAAUCAACCAAGCUGGCUAUGUCGCCGCUCCGGUAUUUAGCCGAGCUCAUAGGUAGCUUGGGGGAAGAUCAUCAUGGUGGCCAAGUUGAUUUAUAAGAUAUUGCGUAAGCUGUUUGAGAAUUUGUGCUCCAUUAGAUGUUACAGACCAGUUGAUUCGAUGCCAAAUCCAAAAUUAUUACAUAAAUAAUUCGAAAUAAAAAAAAGGUUUAUACAAGAAAAGUGAGCACUAAGCACUCCUUUAUUGUUGUGAAGCACACACAUGACACAUCCAACUGCAAUAUUUAUCAUACAUCUGAUCACAUCAAAUGGUUUGAUAGAGGCCGUCAAAAUGCAGGCCCAGGUGGUCCUGGGGGCCCACCAAAUAAUGGGCCACAACAAUCCCGGAGCAACCCGCAGCAACACAAGAAGUACAAGCUGCAAGCACAAAGAAAUAGCAGGUCAUAUUCGAUGGCUAUGGAUUAUUUUGCUAUGUAGAGAAUUAACCCUCUCAGAUAAAAUAGCAGAAGGCAUCUAUCUUCAAGUAAAAGGUGGGGGAAAAAUAAUUGCAAAUGAGAACAGUCUUCGCUCAAACAGCAUUAAAAAUUUUUCAUUAGGUUAAUAUAGUUAAUAAACAAUUUGUUCGCUAGUUUGAGCUACAUAAUAAGAGGUAGCAUUUCCUAUCGAUAGAAUAAGUCUGCUAGAUGCAAACAUGGCAACAAAAUUCUCUACCUGAACAGAAUAAUCCACUCGAUCGAUACAUAUAUCUUAGGAGCAUGGUCGAACUCACAACCUUUAGUAAACCAACAAGCCAUCAAAACAUAUAGAAUCAGGUGGUACUUAGCUAUUAGAUCAAAACAAAAUUGAGAAAGUAGCAUUCUACAUGCUUAAUGCCCCAAAAUAUGAGCUAACCUAUGUUAGUUUAUUUUUUUUUUUAAAAAAAAUAUGAAUAAUGAUCUAUAGAUAAUAUACUUUUUUUUUAGUAUUUAACUCCUUUUUUGACAGAGUUUAGAGAAGCAUUAGCUGAUUUUUCCACCAAAUAUCUAAGAUACAUUACUACAAACCUUCUGGUAUUAUAUAAAUAUGUGUAUCAAAAUUGUUCCAUGGAUAACACAAUGUUGAUAAAUCUUUGAGUUAGGACCAUAUAAAUAAUCAUCAUGUGCCAAAAAUAAAAAAAUGUUACUUAGAUCCACAGGCCAAGAACUAUACUUUAUGGUGGUUCCUCAUGGAUGUGCUGAAUACCAAAGUCACUGUGAAUCAAUUAACCAAAUCUCUCCAACCAUCCAACCAAAUGAGACCUAACUCAUGAUCAAAGUCUUCAAGGUUACAGCAUGAUCCUUGUGGAUGUACCCCAAAUAUGUUUGAGAAAUGCUCAUAUGUUUGAUAAAUUGUAAGGACUACAACAAAUUUUCUGUUUUUUUUAAGGUAACAAACAAUAAAUUCUGUGAAAACAUUAAAUUGAAUGAAAAAGAAAGAGAGAGAAGGCAAAUGUACCAUGAAGAUAAGCAGCCACACGGUCCAUCAAAACCACCACCCGGACCACCAGGCCCUGGCCCGAAACCGGGCGGCCCUCCAGGCCCUGGUCCAGGCCCAGGUCCUCCUGGUCCCAUUCUCUCUCUCUCUCUCACACACACACACACAAAGAUGAGACUAAGAGCCUCCAAAUCCAACAAGGAACGGUGAGCUAAGAAUCUCUAAAUCCAACAAGGAAAGAUGCUAAUAUAUAGAUAUAUAUAUAGGAGGAAGAGAGAAUGUUUUUUGGUUAACAAGCCAUAGCAAAACAAAUGACCGACCUACCAUUCCAAAUCUUUUCGUAGCUGCCCUUCCAAGAACUAGAAGUCUAACUUACGUGCACGUUUCUGUCAGCCACCUUUGUAUAUGGACAAAUUAAGGGUUUGGCUUGCCAUGACGUAGGUGGGCCUCGGAGUCUGGAUAGAGUCCUUAGAAGCAUCCAUGGAUGGCUCUAUCAUGUCUUCAGCUGUGGGCGAAAGCUCGCUGUUUAAUUCCGUAAGCAGACUGGCAAUCAGGUAUACAAUAAUAGUUAUCGAGCUAUCAGCAUUCAAGGAUGUAUAAGUGCCAACUAGAUUUUAGGAUAUUAAUAUUGAAUGACAUUUUUGUCGUUUAAAGCAUGAUAGCAAGUCCUAGAUUUUAUUGUAUAGCUAGAGGUGCAAAUGGGUCGGUCGGAUCAGAUGAGUGACCCAGACCUAAUCUAGUUCUUUGUUCGGGUUCUAAUUUUGGACCCAUAUCCAACUUAAUAGAAGAUCAGAUUGGAUCGGAUCCACUGCUAUAAUUUUUGACUCAACGGAUCAUUCGGGUCGAGUUAGGUCCAUAUAUAACCCUGACCCAACCAAAAAAAUUUGAGUCUGGUUCGGAUUUGGGUCGGGUCUGGUUCGGGUCAACCCAUCCCUGGCUCCAUAAUUUGUUUGUACCUUUACGGGUUGCGGCCUGCGGGUCCAAAUAAUAUUACAAAUUCGGGUUGGGUUGUAGGAUUGAAAAUUCAAAAUUAUUCAAAUUUCAAAUAAGUCGGAUCGGAUCGGGUCUAAAUUCAGUAAACUUAGACCCGACUCGAAAAAUAAAAUGGAUCCAAUUUUAGGACCAGACCCAACCUUACGAGUCCUGCAAAAUAGUUCGAGUCGGAUCAUGGGUCAAUCCGACUCAUUUGCAGCCUUAUAUACUGCUUACAAAGCAUGCAGGUCUUUUGCCUUUGUAUUUUCGAAUUAACUACUGUAGCUAUAACUUGUAGCCAGAUUUGCCGUAUAUUUGAUGAAAAAAAGAGAAAAAGCAAAGCUACAUGAAGCUACUAUCAAGACCUCGUAAUUGGUUAUAUAUUAUGUAGUUUCCCAUAGGGCACGACAAGGAUAGUAAUACAUUAUCUUGAGAAAAAAAGCACCAAUUCUACUGUAUUAGUUUGCUGAAGGAAGAGGGACUCUGGUAUCGAAUUUUUUAAUAACAGUAUCUAUUAGAAAUGAAUUCUCUAGCAUUUGAUUCCUUACCGCCGAAGGAUUUAUUAGUACACUUGAAAGAUAACCUAGAAAAUAGAAAGAACAGUUUGAUAAUUGGUUUAUAUGGAUCCUGUACGGUUGAGACCAAAAGUGAAAAUAAUAUUGCCAAAAAUGGACAAGGUAACAUUUCCAUUUCUUCAUCAGAAGAUGAGUCCCCUUUGAAACCAGAAUUGUUUUUCCUUGAUAUCGAACACACACAAGCUGGUAGUAGCAUCGGCCUAUCAGUUCCCUGCAAUAGUUUCAUGGAUUGGAGAGAGUUUUCUAGCUGGCUUUCUAAAAUUUAGCAAGUAUGGGUAAUUGAAGCCAGCAUAAGGGCACUUGGGAUUGAUUGGAGCAGGACAGCAACAUAAUGCUACCACAUUUGGUCGUGCUUAAACUCCACUUUGAUCCCUCUCGAAAAUUUCGCUCAUAUCAGAGUUUGCUUCAUGGAGUUUUAAAAUAAAGCAUUACAGCUAUGGUUGCAAUAUUCAUACGGUUAAAGCAAAAAAAUUCGAACCACAAUUUGUUGGAAUCGCAAUGGAUUGCUGAAAGUGGAGUGUGCGCUGCGCUCUUUGUGAGAACUCGUACGGACGUGUGUUUAGUUUUACAUUAGUUAUUUACUGGACAGAUCUUUGAUACUUAUAUAUAUCAAGAAACUUAAAUAAUACCUUUCAGCUAAUCUUUUUUGGAUGAGAUUCUGGGUUGUUAAAAUGGUAUCAGAGCGAACUUGGCCCAUAGCCUAUGUGGACUAGGUGCGGGCAUGUGUUUAGUCUCACAUCGGUUAUUCGCCAAGAAGAUCUUUGAUACUUAUACAAGACUAAUAAACUUAAAAAAUAUCUUUUGGCUAGCCUUUUUAAAUAAGAUCCUAGCAUCGGAUGUAAACCUAAGCCGGUCCAUCUUUUAAAUUGAGAACCAAAUGUAUCACCUAAGUUUUUUUAUUAACAAAACAAUAGGUGUAUCGUCCAACAAACUAAACUACUUUAAAGUAGUUUAUAAUCUUUCGCCGAUCAAAUGCAAUUUUUUUAUCUCUUCUUGAUAAUUAGUUUCGAAAUAUUCAAUAAAAUUGGAUGUUUGCAGAUCAAGGACAACAUGAUCAGAAACAUGUUUGUGGAACAUUCAUUAAAAAUUGAAGAUCAAUCAUGUGGUUUUUUUUUUUUUGCUUUGAAAAAGGGGCNNNNNNNNNNNNNNNNNNNNNNNNNNNNNNNNNNNNNNNNNNNNNNNNNNNNNNNNNNNNNNNNNNNNNNNNNNNNNNNNNNNNNNNNNNNNNNNNNNNNNNNNNNNNNNNNNNNNNNNNNNNNNNNNNNNNNNNNNNNNNNNNNNNNNNNNNNNNNNNNNNNNNNNNNNNNNNNNNNNNNNNNNNNNNNNNNNNNNNNNNNNNNNNNNNNNNNNNNNUUAGCGGUUCAAGAGCGGUCCUACACCACAAGUCCAAGCAGUGGCCAAAGUAGUAAGCUCCGGUCCACAAUUUAAUCGUCGCCGCAGCGAUUCGAACUUGGGACCUUGUGGUUAGAAUUGCUGCCCAGUACCACUAGGCUACCACCUUGG